GACGAACGCUGGCGGCGUGCCUAAUACAUGCAAGUCGAACGCAGUGGGGACGGGUGAGUAACACGUGGGUAACCUCCCAUCAGAGGGGAUAACACUUGCAAACAGGUGCUAAACCGAUACUGCGGGCUGGACCCGCGGUGCAUUAGCUAGUUGGGGAGGUAACGGCUCACAAAGGACACGAUGCAUAGACGACCUGAGAGGGGGAUCUGCAACAAUUGGACUGAGAAACGGCCAGGACUCCUACGGGAGUGAGCAGUAGGGAAUCUUCGGCAAUGGACGAAAGUCUGACCGAGCAACGCUGCGUGAGUGAAGAAGGUUUUCGGAUCGUAAAACUCUGUUUUUAGAGAAGCGGUAUCUAACCAGAAAGCCACGGCUAACUACGUGCCAGCCGCCGCGGUAAUAC
Molecule: ribosomal RNA, 403 nt
Filed under: uncultured bacterium
Lineage: Bacteria
Description: partial 16S ribosomal RNA
Rfam family: Bacterial small subunit ribosomal RNA
Source: RNAcentral